This is a long non-coding RNA of Colossoma macropomum (tambaqui), 2825 nucleotides long. RefSeq lists it as uncharacterized. The record is from RefSeq and is a predicted model, not a curated record. NCBI's taxonomy places the organism in Eukaryota, Metazoa, Chordata, Actinopteri, Characiformes, Serrasalmidae. The transcript is spliced from 2 exons.
CAACGCUACAAUCUGUAAGCCAGCUCUGCAAAAUAUGAUUAAGCUGCUGCUACAGAGACCAUCUGACCCAAAUCAAGUCCUCUGUCAGCUACAUGGCUCUGCUACCAAAAAAAGAAGCACAAACAAAAAUGAGAAAAUCACCAAAUGGAGGAAGGGACAAGAGCAGCUGUCAGAAGACUGCAAAAAUGUUUUAGUCUUGUAUGCUGUUUGAUGGGGCCUUGGAGCUGUAUCGCUCAGUGAAAUUUAAUCCUGCAAACUGCUGUGGAUCAUAACAUCUUGCACAAGUUGACUUGUUCAGUGGAACAGUACUCCAAUUUAGACGUUAUAGGUGUUAAUCCUGCUAUGUACUACUGAGGUGUUUGUUUUUUUUUUUUAAACGUCUAUUAUUUCUGGUAAACAAGAUCGUCAUGGAAAUGAUCUAAAAGAAGGUACUUUUUGUUGCUGACUUUUUUUUAUUGCUACAUGAAGAUGAUGGCAUUUCCAGUGUCUGUGGUAUUGCCUGUGUGCCUCCCACCAUUUUGAACAUUGUACAAGUUGACAGAUGAGAGUUCAGGAGCUGCUUUUGGCUUAGAAGACAAGACAGCUAGAUGAUGAUUGUGAUUUAAAGGUGAGGAAGUCAGUCCAGUGCACUGCUUCAGCGGGUCAUACCCUGUAGCUAAACUAUACACUUAUUUUUUGGAUCAGCCAUGGGCCUGAAGCUCUGAACUGUUCAAACCUCAGGUCCAUUUUUAAAGCAGGAUCAUGAUCUGGUGCAUUUCUGCUGGAACAUAUCUGUAGUAUAUGUGUAUCUGACACGUAAUCGAACCAAACUACAAAGCAAGACCUGCCAGUGUCACAAGGGUGAAAACUAGCUGCAUCAAAGCAAAGGAGUGAUGGCUCAGAUGAAGAAAUAGUACAAUGUCAUGUCUUUCCGGCUGCCGCAUUUGCUGUGCAAAAGAUUAUCGCUAUGAUGUUACCUUGUGACAAAGUUGGUAAUGUGUCAUAUGAUUGUGUAUCAUACUGGAAUUGUUUUUGAGCUGAUGGUUGAUUUUUAGCUGCUCUCAGCUUGGUGCUUGAUUGUACAUUAAUCUCUACAUAUGGUACAAAAUACUAAAUGUGCAAAUCUCAAUUUUGUUUGCUUCCAUAAUUUUGUGUGAGAGGGAGAGAGUGCAAUACAGCAACUCUUGUUAAUAUACUUUUUGUAUUCAACUGUACUGCAUCAUUUUCCUCAGCUAGGCUGGCUUGUUUUGCUAAUCGCUGGAAAACGGCAGUUUCUUUCAACAGAGAUUCAGAGAUGGGUAGAGAGAAAGAAAAGGAUGGACAGCGAAAAUGUUACACAGCACCACAAUGAUGUCACAUGAAGCAUCUUCAGAGAAAUUGUCUUGGGUGCGAGUCAGUUCCUAUCUUUCUCCCACAGAUGUGCACUGGUAGCUGUGGGAUGGAGGGAUGGAUAGAGUGAGAGAGCCAGCAGCAGUCUCCAUUGGCAGAUUAGUCAGAACGGAUGGAGCUCCUGGGAGUCCAGACAGCUGCUUCUCUCUUUCUGUCUGUCUCUACCUCUCUCUGUGUGUCUAAUUUAUCCUUUUUUCUCUCUCUUUUAUCCAUCUCUCCCUCUCUCUCUCCACAUCAGAGACUGAACUGUAGUGCAUUUCCCUUGGUGUGAGUUCUACACUCUACCUAACCCAAAACAGUUCUUUUCUUUGUAAAUGAAUGCAGUAAGCAGAGCAGUCAGGCUCAGAUAAGGCCUUUGGCUGAGUGAAAAUGGUUAUAAAAUGGGCCUGGACAGUUGUUUUAUGUCAUUUUUUUUUUCCAAAUUGGCUGUAAAUUGCUCUAAGUGUGAUAGAUUUGUUAGGUUUGUGUCAUGCACUUGAAAGAUGGGGUACUACUGAAAAUGCUGAAGGUACAAAACAUGGCCAUGACUGCAUGGCAACUUCGUACACUAGAACUCGACAGUAUAACAAUCGUGUUGCGGAAAAGAAGCCAAAGAGUGAGGUUAGAUUUAAUGUCUGAAUGAUCUCUUGGUGAAAAACUACAGAAUAUGAUGGAUGAAUGCUUAAGCUCGACACUGGGUACCUUAAACAGCCUGUUUUAAUGGGCUUGAAUCAUGUAAAAUGUUUGAAUCAAUAUUUAUAUCGUCUUUGGAACAGUAAUAUAUAUGUAUGUUCUACUCAUUGAUUAUGAUCACUGUACCGCACAAUGCCUAAAAUUAGAUGAACAAUCGUCCUAUGCAAUUUCACCAUAUCUGUCAGGAGCUUAUCUGUUUCAGUGAGAUAUUAGCCCCUGCCCUGUCUGAGGUAAUUACCAAGAGCAUUUCAUAUGGAGGAAAAUGAUUUCAGUGGCAAAAAUCGAUGAGUGUCUGCCUCAGGGGAUAACAGUAUAUUCUAAUGGCCACAUUUUUAGAUGUGAUAACUUUAUAAAAACCAAAGCACAGCCAUUAUUCUCCUGACAAUUUGUGUUGCAGUGUUUUUUAAACUAUAUUAUCCCGAAAUUGCAAGGUAGCAGUGCUAUCACAGCUAGACAGGCAGGCCCCUAGGCAGUUCCUAAAGUGACAGCACAAAGCUGUUUUGUAGUUACAGUGUAAUGGAAUGAGGAAAGAUAAUGAAUGUAAACAUGUUUUACCUCUAAAUUAAAGUGUAUAUGAAUGAACCUAGACGUGAAACAAGCUGUUAAACUGUGCAGUGACACAAGAAAUUUCUGUCCUGUAUUUUUCUCAUGCCAGAUUUUUUUUUUCUUUUUGUGCAUUUUGCUGUUAUUCGUUUCCAAAGGCAUUUCAGUUGAUUUGUUAUUUAUCUUUAAGAUCAUGUGCGAUGCUGUCGGUCGUAGCAUGAAAUAAAACAUUAUAUCAUGAA